AGUGAACGCUGGCGGUAGGCCUAACACAUGCAAGUCGAACGGCAGCACAGUAAGAGCUUGCUCUUACGGGUGGCGAGUGGCGGACGGGUGAGGAAUACAUCGGAAUCUACUUUUUCGUGGGGGAUAACGUAGGGAAACUUACGCUAAUACCGCAUACGACCUACGGGUGAAAGCAGGGGAUCUUCGGACCUUGCGCGAUUGAAUGAGCCGAUGUCGGAUUAGCUAGUUGGCGGGGUAAAGGCCCACCAAGGCGGCGAUCCGUAGCUGGUCUGAGAGGAUGAUCAGCCACACUGGAUCUGAGACACGGUCCAGACUCCUACGGGAGGCAGCAGUGGGGAAUAUUGGACAAUGGGCGCAAGCCUGAUCCAGCCAUACCGCGUGGGUGAAGAAGGCCUUCGGGUUGUAAAGCCCUUUUGUUGGGAAAGAAAAGCAGCAGGUUAAUACCCCGCUGUUCUGACGGUACCCAAAGAAUAAGCACCGGCUAACUUCGUG
RNAcentral lists this ribosomal RNA (492 nucleotides) under uncultured bacterium. Its description in RNAcentral is "partial 16S ribosomal RNA". It matches the Rfam family "Bacterial small subunit ribosomal RNA", at positions 29 to 507 of the family's 1533-position model. The record is from RNAcentral.